RNAcentral lists this long non-coding RNA (811 nucleotides) under Mus caroli (Ryukyu mouse). Its description in RNAcentral is "predicted gene 15942 (MGP_CAROLIEiJ_G0005079.1)". The record is from RNAcentral. Lineage: Eukaryota; Metazoa; Chordata; Mammalia; Rodentia; Muridae.
AGCUGGAGGAGGGGGAAGAGAUAACACACUGCCUGUUUCUCUUUGCUUCCCCGACUCCAUCUUAAAAGGCCAUGCCCAAAAGAAGGCAGGCAGUGGCUCCUGAGCUCCAGGACUCUGCUUGUAAGUGUAAAUGGGGAAGAAAAGGAAUCCAAGAUCUGUUCAGAUUCUGGCUGGCCUCACAGGACUGACACCAAAUGCUGCCAGACUCUCUGAGUGCCAAGGUUGGCCUCUGAAGAAAGGGGAAAUCUACAACAGAGAAUACUUCCAGCUCCAGUAACAAAUGUGUCUGUGAUUUCAAGAGGAGGCCUGGGUUCAAGAGGCCUUGGCUGCAUCAUCCCAUCUGGAAGCAAAUCAGCACUGAUUGGCCUCAUUUCCACCCUUCACAUUAGGGCAUUUGUGGUAGAAAGAAGUUCCAUUGUGCCUUUCCAUGGAUGAGAGACACUGUUCACCUCCUGUCACCUCUGCCAUGCUCACAUCCCCCCUAUUUUUUCCAUAUCCCUAGUCUUGCAAACCUGGUACAAUCCAAAAAUUCUACCUAAACCAUCCCAAGACACACAGUCCCUCUCUCUGAGGUGGAAGGUGGGUGAAACACAGAGGCCCUGAGGAAACAGGGACUCUCGUGUGAAUGAUAAUAGCAGGUCAGAUCUGCAGAGUGGGCAAGGGGUUCAUGACAGGGUCCUCACUGGGAGACACAAACACCCCUGCCAACAUACCUCCCAGGAAGACAGAGAGCCACAGGCCCAGGUGUACAGACUCCCCACCAGUCUGAGGCCACCCGCACUGUGGCCUACACACACAGAAAGCUGGUCAU